CGGUCCCAGACACCAGAGCAAGCUCAAGACCCAGCAGUGGGACAGCCAGACAAACGGCACGAUGGCACUGAGCUCCCAGAUCUGGGCCGCUUGCCUCCUCCUCCUCCUCCUCCUCGCCAGCCUGACCAGUGGCUCCGUUUUCCCACAACAGGUGAGAGCUCAGUGGCCUGGGUCCUUAGCAGGGCAGCAGGGAUGGGAGAGCCAGGCCCCAGCCUAGGGCACUGGAGACACCCGAGCACUGAGCAGAGCUCAGGACGGCUCAGGGGGACUGGCAGCUGAACAGUGGCUCAUGCCUGUAAUCCCAGCACUUUGGGAGGCUGAGGCAGGCGGAUCACUUGGGGUCAGUUUGAGACCAGCCUGGCCAACAUGGUAAAACCCUGUCUCUACCAAAAAUACAAAAGUUAGCCAGGCUUGGUGGCAGGUGCCUCUAAUCCCAGCUACUCGGGAGACUCAGGCAGGAGAAUUGCUUGAACCCACAAGGUGGAGGUUGCACAGUGAGCUGAGAUUGCACCACUGCACUCCAGCCUGGCAACAGAGCAAAACUCCAUCUCCAAAAAAGAACAGAAAUCAAUGAAGCACCGAGUGACAGGGACUGGAAGAUCCUAAUUCCAUGGGUAUUUACGAAGCCCCUACGCUGUGUGGAGUCUUAUUCUAGACAGUGGGGACAAGGCCAUGAACAAGGUAGAUGAGAGAGGAGACUUCUCCAUCCUGGUCAGGGAAUUCAUUAAAGGCUGAUGAAAACAUGAACAAAUAAUUGUGUCUAGUACAUGCUAUUCGUGAAUCUCAUAACAGAUGGUGGUAGAGCGACCGUGACCCAUUCGCCACACAGUAGAGUUACUUUUUUGGUUUGUUUUUUAGAGACAGGGUCAUCCUCUGUUGCUGAGGCUGGAGUGCAGUGGUGCAGUCAUAGCUCACUGCAGCCUCAACCUCCUGUGCUCAAGCAAUCUUCCCACCUCAGCUUCCCAAGUAGCUGGGACAGCAGGCACACGCCACAGGCGGGGGGACCACAGGCACGGUCAAGGAGUUGGCAGUCAAGCAAGUGUUUCAUGAGAAAGUGACAGUUGACCUUCGUCUUGGAGGGUGAGAGAUGGAGUCAGCAAAGACCUAAGGAGAGGACAAGCCGGCAUAGCCCAGGGUCAGGCUGAACAAGAGGAGACGGUGGGACUUGGGGAUAAGGCUGAGGGGUGGGUAGUCCCAAAGUCUUGUGGGCAACCAUACAGACACUGAUUUUUCCUUGGAAUAAAGAGGAAGCCCCCAUAAGCUUUUUUUUUUUUUUUUUUUUUUUUUUUUUUUUUUUUUUCUGAGACAGGUUCUCGCUCUGUCGUUUAGGCUGGCGUGCGGUGGCAUCAUCUGGGCUCACUGCAACCUCCGCCUCCCGGGUUCAAGCAAUUCUCCUGCCUCAGCUUCCCAAGUAGCUGGGAUUACAGGUGCCUGCCACCACGCCUGGCUAAUUUUUGUACUUUUAGUAGAGACAAGAUUUCACCAUGUUGGCCAGACUGGUCUUGAACUCCUGACCUCAGGUGAUCCUCCCAUCUCGGCUUCCCAAAGUGCUGGGAUUACAGGCGUGAGCCACUGCGCCCAGCCUCCUGUAGGUUUUUAAAAUGGAGAAAACCACAAUCUCACUGGCCAUGUUUUAAAAAACUUAGUCUGCCAGUCGGGCACCAUGGCUCACACCUGUAAUCUCAGAGUUUUGGGAGGCCAAGGUAGGAAGAUCAGUUGAGCCCAGGAGUUCGAGACCAGCUUGGGCAACACAACCAGACCCCAUCUCUACAAAAAAUUAAAAAAUUAGCCGGGUGUGGUGGCGUGCACCUGCUGUCUCAGCUACUCGGGAAGCUGAGGCGGGAGCAUCGCUUGAGCACAGGAGGUCAAGGCUGCAGGGAGCUAUGACUGUGCCACUGCACUCCGGCCUGGGCAACAGAGGGAGACUCUGUCUAAAAAACAAACAAAAAAAGUGACUCUGCUGUGUGGCAAAUGGAUUGAGGGGCAAGAAUGCAGGGAGAUGUGUUAGGAGGCUGGCACUGGCAUCCAGGCAGGGGAAGGUGAUGUCCCAAAGAAGAGUAGCAGCUGUGGAAAGAGGAGGAGGCGGAUCUGGGAGGUUUUUUUUUAGGAAAAGCCGCCCAUGGGAAGGUGAGCAGAAGCAAGAAAGCAAGGCCCCUCCUAAGAGUCCAGCUAAGCUCUGGGUUUAAACCACUUGGAGAGGAGCAGGUUGCCGGGAGCCAGUCUCAGAGGUCCACUGGGCCCCUGCCAUCCUCAACACCCCCUUCUGCUUUCACAGACGGGACAACUUGCAGAGCUGCAACCCCAGGACAGAGCUGGAGCCAGGGCCGGCUGGACGGUGAGCGCAACAGUGAUGCCCUUCCCAGCCCCCUGCUCCCUCCCCAUGCCCAGGCCGGUUCCCUGCUCACACUCCCUUCCUUCCCACAGCCCAUGCUCCAGAGGCGAAGGAGGCGAGACACCCACUUCCCCAUCUGCAUUUUCUGCUGCGGCUGCUGUCAUCGAUCAAAGUGUGGGAUGUGCUGCAAGACGUAGAACCUUCCUGCCCUGCCCCCGUCCCCUCCCUUCCUUAUUUAUUCCUGCUGCCCCAGAACACAGGUCUUGGAAUAAAAUGGCUGGUUCUUUUGUUUUCC
This 2627-nucleotide small RNA is filed under the name Pongo abelii (Sumatran orangutan). RNAcentral's name for it is "retained intron". Lineage: Eukaryota; Metazoa; Chordata; Mammalia; Primates; Hominidae. The record is from RNAcentral.